GACGAACGCUGGCGGCGUGCUUAACACAUGCAAGUCGAACGGAAAGACCCUGCUUUUGUGGGGUGCUCGAGCGGCGAACGGGUGAGUAACACGUGAGUAACCUGCCCUUGACUUUGGGAUAACUUCAGGAAACUGGGGCUAAUACCGGAUAGGAGCUCCUGCUGCAUGGUGGGGGUUGGAAAGUUUCGGCGGUUGGGGAUGGACUCGCGGCUUAUCAGCUUGUUGGUGGGGUAGUGGCUUACCAAGGCUUUGACGGGUAGCCGGCCUGAGAGGGUGACCGGCCACAUUGGGACUGAGAUACGGCCCAGACUCCUACGGGAGGCAGCAGUGGGGAAUAUUGCACAAUGGGCGGAAGCCUGAUGCGGCAACGCCGCGUGCGGGAUGACGGCCUUCGGGUUGUAAACCGCUUUCGCCUGUGACGAAGCGUGAGUGACGGUAAUGGGUAAAGAAGCACCGGCUAACUACGUG
Molecule: ribosomal RNA, 468 nt
Filed under: uncultured bacterium
Lineage: Bacteria
Description: partial 16S ribosomal RNA
Rfam family: Bacterial small subunit ribosomal RNA
Source: RNAcentral